UACAGAGGGUGCAAGCGUUAUUCGGAAUUACUGGGCGUAAAGGGCGCGUAGGCGGUUUGGUAAGUCUGAUGUGAAAGCCCCGGUCUCAAGCUGGGAAGUGCAUCAGAUACUGCUAGACUAGAGUGCAGGAGAGGAGAGCGGAAUUCCAGGUGUAGAGGUGAAAUUCGUAGAUAUCUGGAGGAACAACAGAGGCGAAGGCGGCUCUCUGGACUGUAACUGACGCUGAGGCGCGAAAGCGUGGGGAGCAAACAGG
This 253-nucleotide ribosomal RNA is filed under the name uncultured bacterium. RNAcentral describes it as "partial 16S ribosomal RNA". It matches the Rfam family "Bacterial small subunit ribosomal RNA", at positions 524 to 776 of the family's 1533-position model. The record is from RNAcentral.